Molecule: ribosomal RNA, 406 nt
Filed under: uncultured bacterium
Lineage: Bacteria
Description: partial 16S ribosomal RNA
Rfam family: Bacterial small subunit ribosomal RNA
Source: RNAcentral
AUUGAACGCUGGCGGCAGGCCUAACCCAUGCAAGUCGAACGAGUGGCGGACGGGUGAGUAAUGUCUGGGAAACUGCCCGAUGGAGGGUGAUAACUACUGGAAACGGUAGCUAAUACCGCAUACCAUCGGAUGUGCCCCGAUGGGAUUAGCUAGUAGGUGGGGUAACGGCUCACCUAGGCGACGAUCCCUAGCUGGUCUGAGAGGAUGACCAGCCACACUGGAACUGAGACACGGUCCAGACUCCUACGGUAGGCAGCAGUGGGGAAUAUUGCACAAUGGGCGCAAGCCUGAGGCAGCCAUGCCGCGUGUAUGAAGAAGGCCUUCGGGUUGUAAAGUACUUUCAGCGAGGAGGCGGUACUCGCAGAAGAAGCACCGGCUAACUCCGUGCCAGCAGCCGCGGUAAUUC